GAGACGAUGCAUUAUGUGCUGUCACUUCCAUGGGGCGGGGACACUUCUACUGAAGUGAAAGUCCCCUCUGUUGUUUCUUCCAAGUGAGAGUGAGCAGCACAGGGUCUAGAGCCAAGUGGCUAGGCUCCCAUACCAGCUCUGUUACUUACCAAUGCGGCAGCCUUGAAAGGAUUACCCAGAUUCCGGGCCUCGGUGCCUUCUCCUGUAGGAAGAGUGACAGCAGUGAUUAAAGGAGCUCCAGCAUCAUGAUGAAAGCCACUAGUAAAUCCUGGCCUUGACUGUUAAUGCUUCCCUUUCACUACUAGUAACAUGGUCUGAGAAGACGACUUGUAAGUGGACAUAUCAUACCGAAGCAUCCCGUCUCUUGGCAUGGUACCAUCAGAGGACUGUCAUCUACAAAGACCAUGCCCAAGAACUAUGCAAGUGCUGGGCAUGGUGCCCUGGAUCCCACUACUUGGGAGACAGAGGCAGGAGGAUUUCUUGUGAGUUCAGAGCCAAUCUGGUCUCCACAGUGAGUUCCAGGAAAGCCAUAAUUUUGGGGUUUUGUUUUUGUUCAUCUGAUUUUGGGCCCUGCCUCAAAAAAACUAAACAAGGAAAAUAAAACAAACUUCUGCAAUCAAGUUACAAAAAUGAACAUCACACAGAUACGUCAUGUUUGGACUGGAGAGAUCAUUCAGUGGUUAAGAGUGCUUACUGCUCUUGCAGAGGAUCCAGGUUCAGUUCCCAUCACCCACAUCAGGCAAUUUACAAGCAACUAUUACCCCAGUUCUAGGGGACCUGACACCCUUUUGGUCUCAACAGGUACCUGCACAUAUCUGAUACACAGAAACUCAUGAAGGCAUACUCCUUUAAUCUCAGUGCUCAAAAGGCAGAAGCAAGUGGAUCUCUGUGAGUUCAAGGACACCCAGGUCUACACAGUGAGUCCCAGACCAUCAAGAAUUAGAGUGAGACCCUGUCUCAGAAAGAAAAGCAAAUGAAAUAAGACUCCUUAAAUGUCACAUUUUAAGUUAAGUUUACAAUUUUGUAUUGGGCUACAUUCAAAACUACCCUUGCAGUAUGUAGCCCAUGGAUCAAGGUUAGACACACAUAGCUGUGGUGUUUCUCAAAUACUUCUCUCACUUAGUGCUGAAAAUAAUCUAGUCAUCAACAGGAGGAGGAGGUGGUGGGGAGAAGGGAGAUGGGGAGGGAAAGAGGGGGACAGGAGAGAAGAGAUGGGGAAGGAAAGGGAGGGAUAGGAGAAAUGGAGAUGCGGAAGGAGGAGCUGACUCUGAGAAGUAAUUUGCAGACAGUUGCAUAGAAAGGGCAAAGCUGAAAACAUCUGUAACUAAGGACCAUUUAGGCUGGACUCCAUAGACUCAGAAGAGUGUGGGGUGGGGCCAUGCUGUCCUCUGAGAUUCCAAGUUCUAGGAGAGAAGGUCCUAGAAUUCUGAGUGGCUACAGAAGCCCUGGUUCCAGAAAAAAAAAAAAAAUGUUCAGUUCAACUUGACUCAGAACUGAUCUCAGUCAUUCUGUCCCUGAACCAUUUCCUGUUUGGGGUUUCUGUUCUGCACAGAGAAGACGAAAACAUGCACAGUGCCCUCAGACUUCUCACUCUCGGAAAUGAAUCUCUUAGAUCAGAAGCUUAUAAAUCAAAGAGAGUUUUCAGAAAACCAGGGUUCAACAACAUCCCUCUUAACACGUGACCAGCAUUCAGCUUGAAAUGGAGGCAGAGGUGUCUAGACACACUCACUGCCAGAUAGAGCUGGGGACCGAACCCAGGGCCUCUACCGAACAAGCGCUCUACCACUGAGCUAAAUCCCUAACCCAGGAAGAAAAUCUCAAAGCCAUGGAUGUACAGGCGUCCAUCCAUUCGAGGGGUGUGCACUUAACACAGAGUUGCUGAGUUACCUGGAAGCAACAUCACAAUUAACUACUGCCUUUCAUUCUUCUCCUUGUAGCCUCUGGGAGUCUGAAUGGCUUCUAGCCUUUGGGUUUGAGAAGUCUAGAAAAGUCUGUCCUGAAUAAAAACAAAACAACAAACAAAAAACAGAAGCGAUUUCUGAGUCUGAAGGAGGUUUCACUAUAAACAGAACAUCUCCAUGUCUGGCUGCCCUGCUGGGUUGAAUUACUCCCGCCCUAUGUGCCAAGCAGAGGGGACCUUCCUACAAGUCGUCUGAGCUAGGCAUCACUUCCCUUCCCUGUGCCUCCUCUCCCACAAAAUCGUCACUCCAUGUCUUAAAUUAACAAGACUCAAAAACCCCACCCAAACAUUAGGGGUCGUAUAAAAUGAUGUCACAAUCUCUCUGGAAGAAGGGAGUGGCCAACAGUGACUUCUGAGGAUGAGGUGAGGUCAUGGAUGGCUACAGGGGUCUGGUGCCCAGGGAAGUUUACACAUUGGUUACAGUACCACACAGUGAAUAGGCUCAAAUGAGAACACCCACAGAUAGGAUGACAGUGGCAGCCUGAACACUCGUCCUCAAAGCCAGUGAAGAGAACAGCUGUAGACAGUGGUAGCUUUUAAAGGUUGUCUCAGCUCCUGUCAAACACUUCACCCCUAAUCUUAUUGCCAUUUUCUAUUAGCCCCUAGUACCCAUCCUGACACUUUUAAUUAGAUCAAAAGUGCCCUCAGGGCAGACAUCUUGUUCGGGUAGUCACGGAAGUACUAAUCUUAAUUUUGAUAAUAUCAGUAUGUUAUAUAGCUAGACAUGUUCUAACUCACAUUUCAUUUUCUAUUCUGACCAGCUAAGCACUAAAUUGCUAGUAUGGCCUGCCUGAGGAGAAGCUCACACAAGGGAUUCAAAUUUGUCUUGGCUGCUUUGAAGUUUUGGAUAGAAAAGCUGCAAUCGAAGGCUAGGGAGAUGGCUCAGCCAGAAAAGGGCUUGCCAUGGAAGCAUGAGGAUUUGAGUUCAGUCUCCACACUCACAUUAAAAGCUGAGCAUAGAAAUGUGUACCUCCAGCUGGGGUGGAUGGGAGAGAGGUGGACCUCAGAGGAAUGCUGGCCAGACUGGCUCCAAGUUCAAUGAAAGACGCUGUCUCAAAAGAUAAGGUAGAGAGCUAUUGAAGAAGACACUUCAUAUGACUUUCUAUUCUUGCGCACACAUGCCCACAAAUGAACACACACACACACACACACACACACACACACACACACACACACAAUCUGAGGUCUCCUCGCAUUUGAUAUCCUCUGACUCUGUAAUUUGAGGACAUUUAGACAAGAGCCUCAUUUGUAAGGCUAAAGAAAAAAAAAAGGCCCCAGCAUACAUCUCUCAGAUGGUGGAGGACACUAGAAAGACCUUGUUCAAACACAAAACACAGCAACAGGAUUCCUAAAUGAUCUUUUCCCCUUUCUUCCAAGCACUUAGAGAGUGCAGUCUUGCAUUCAUACUUUUCCCUGAGUCAGGCAUGGUGGUACAUGGCCUCCUCUCAUGUAGGAGGUAGAAGUUAAGGCAGGAAGAGCUCUGUGAGUUUGAGGCCAACUUGAUCUACAUAAGCAAGAUCCAGGCCAGCUAGGACUACACAGUGAGACCCUGUUUCAAAACAAAAUAAAAUAAAUACAUUUCCCAUAAUUUCAAGAUCACAGGCAUAUACAAGUGUUUCUAACGAGGCUUCAGCACAGUAACCAAUCUGCCUUUAACCCUGAAAGACCAGUGGUCCUAAGAAGAGGACAGCAACUAAACUGCAGAUACUUAACACAUUGGCAAAUGUUAAAAAUAUGCAUUUGGGAGCCUUAACUCAACAAUCUGUUUAACCUAAUAAUGUCAAUAGUAACUGUACUUCAAUGAGGUUUUGUUUGUGGUACUGGGAAUUGACUCCAGGGACCAUGCAUGCUAUCCAAGUGUUCUACCAACAUCCCUCAGAUCUUAUACAAGGUCUUAUUUUAAAAAAAAAAAAAAAACCAAACCAAUUCAACCUUCCUUGGUUUAAUGAACACUCUAGGGUGCGGAGGAGGCAGUUAAAGAUGGCAGUGUAUUAGUACACACUGAACAGACACGGAGAAUCCCAGAACCAUCCCAGUCC
Molecule: non-coding RNA, 3999 nt
Organism: Rattus norvegicus (Norway rat)
Lineage: Eukaryota; Metazoa; Chordata; Mammalia; Rodentia; Muridae
Source: RefSeq, a predicted model, not a curated record